CUAGGAUAAGGCAUUAGAGGGUGAGGGUCGCAUUAGAUACGAACAGCUAUUGAUAAUUACCUGUUUCAUGUUAAAUAAACUGCAAUAACAUGUUAUGUGCUAGCCUCAAAAACACAUAAUUUUUUAUUUGUGCUUUGCUUAAACCAUACAUCGCUAAGUUUCUGGGAAGAUCCUCCAAGAGUAUUCAAAUGGCUCAAGAACUGUUUGCUGUAUGGAGAAUGGACAUAACUCUGCUAAAUAUCGUGAUCCACCAUUGCGAUGUAAAGAGGGAAAGAUUUUCUUACAUUAUAGAUUAUUAACUGGUGCAAUAUUGCCACAGGAUCAUAUAUUGCAACAAAUGAGGAACUCGCAGUUCUAGCAAUGGUUGGGAAAAAAAUUGCACUGCAACAGCAUGAUUUACUGCUUUCUGCAUAUCUCUUCCUUUCCGACAUGCACAGGCUAAAUUUCGUUUUUUCAAUAUAAGGAGCUCUAUAUGUCUGCAACAUGCUACAUUUGCACCCAGUGACAAUUCCAUUUGUGGGUUCUGAUACAAGUGGAAUGGAUCAAUACUAAGUUUGAGGAUGCAUAGGCUGUUGAUGGAUCUAUGACAGAUGGUAUGGAGUAUAUCUUCAACGUAGCAGACAGUUGAGAUGUUGUCGUGGUUUGCUAUUGAAUGAGGUCAUUUUUUGUUUUGUUUUUACUUUAUCUUUCCUUCUAAUAUGCUAUUAAUUGGCAAAGAGACAUUGUUAUGGUGCUGUUUGCUGUUUUCAAUUACAUAACAUAUAUAAUCUAUCUAUGGGUGUUCCAAAUGUGGAUGUGAUUACAUAUAGAAUGUGUAUGUCAUUUGGAACUUUUGUGAUGCUGUUCAUUCAGUACCACUGCUAGCUUUAGUGUCUGAUUAUGCUGUAGAUGUGAGGUUAUUAAUUUUUAUUGGAAUUUUGAGCACCUGUAGUAAUGCCUUAAGUUUUCCUUAAGAAGAGUUUCUCGGCAAUUUGAUUUAGUUCUGCUGGAUUGGUCAUUAAAUUUGAGCUUCCAUCUUAAGGCCGGUAUCCAGCUAUUUAUGAUUACACUGUCUAUGAUGCAAUUCUCUUUUAGUUUCUGUAGUCCCAAGUUUCUGUUAUUCUAAAGUAAUACUUGCUAAAUUAUGUGGGAUGAGCAUUCUCUUAGGUCUUAAGGGUCUACAA
Molecule: long non-coding RNA, 1163 nt
Organism: Rosa chinensis
Lineage: Eukaryota; Viridiplantae; Streptophyta; Magnoliopsida; Rosales; Rosaceae
Exons: 3
Source: RefSeq, a predicted model, not a curated record